CUAGAGUUCAGAUGUGUGCUCUUGCGUAAUCCUGCAUUGUCUGUUACCUUGAUUAUGGCAAUAGUUUUUUGCCUUCUUAACUAGUCUCUUUAUCUCUAAGUUCUCACCUUUAAAACCCACCAUCCCCGCUGCUACCAUUUCCAAAAUGCAACCACGAACCUGUUGCUUCUAUACUCUGGUGCCUGCCCAGAGCUUCUAGAACAAACAGUAAACUUCGUGCUUUGUCCAUGGCCACGUCUUCCUCCGGCCCCGCCCAGAGUCAACAUUUCUUCAUUGGCGGCCACUGUGACUUUAACACCUCUAUUCUCCAAGCUCAUUGUGUGUGCCUUUGCCACUUCCUGCAGCGGAUAUGGUCUCCUAUGCUUCGGUGCCUUCCCACGUUCGUUCUUCUGUCCUUGGAAGGCUCUGGGUUUUAUAAGCUUCGGUCAGACAGAAAAGAACUGCCGAUAUAUUACCAAGUUGGCAGGCCCCCCCUGCCAUCUAAAGUCAUGCUUGGUUGCAAUGUCUUCUGGGACCUUGGGCAGCACCAGAGACCUGUGGAUGUUCCCUGGCUUUUCCUACCACCCUGCCCCCCACCCCAGGCACAUGUCCAAGCUUGACACCAGCUACUGAUGGCCCUUGUCACUGAACUAUUAUCAGGGACCUCAUCUGAAUCCAAGAGCUGUCCCAGCUCCUCCGAGGUCUAGACUCACUCACUGGGCUGUCCACAGCUCAAGAGGGAAUGGAUUACCUUGGUCAGGGCAGGUGUGUGAGGAACCACUGAUUUAAAGAGCAUUCAUAACUUACCCCAACCC
Vicugna pacos (alpaca) is the source of this 794-nucleotide non-coding RNA. The record is from RefSeq and is a predicted model, not a curated record. Lineage: Eukaryota; Metazoa; Chordata; Mammalia; Artiodactyla; Camelidae.